GUUUGACUCUGUACUAUGGUUAAUUGGUGAUGGACCAACUGGAAAUGGAGUCGCCGGAUGUCCCCGAGUGUCCUGUGUGCUUGCAGACCUACGACGGCGAGUACACAAUUCCACGCGUACUCGCCUGUGGACACACAACCUGCGAGUCAUGCCUUAAAAGCCUCCCUCAAAAGUACCCUCAGACAAUUCGCUGCCCGGCGUGUACCCAACUCGUCAAGUUCCCAUCCCAGGGCCCCUCUUUUCUUCCCAAAAAUAUCGACCUCCUCAGGCUAAUCCCCACCACCUCUCAACUUCAAAAUCCCCCAAAACCCCAUAACAAUGCCCAGAAUGACCUCCAACACCACCAUCUUCAAGUUGACUCUGUGUCUCGUUUAUGGUCUGAUGAGUUUUAUGCUACGUGGAAGAAUUGGGUUCUGCCCAAUGAUGGUGUUCUGGUUGAGGAGAAAAGGAAUGGAUUCGGGUGUUUGAAGGAGGAUAAUAGAAAGGUAAGGUUUUUUAAGCUUGCUGGUGUUUCUUUACCUGUCAAUGGGAGUGGCUCCGUUUUUAAGUUGAGUUAUGAUGCUUGGAUUAUGAAUUGUUUGUACGGAAUGAGAGAGGAGGUGAGAGAGCAAUUGAGUUUGAUUUUGAAAAUCUGUUCCAAAAACUCUAGGAUUUGUAAAGUUUAUGGCUUGUGGGCUGAUUUGGAACAUGGUGUUUUAUAUUUAGUUUGUGAGAGACUAAGUGGUGUUUUAGAUCAAUUGCCUCAGUUUGAAAAUGGUUUAACGGAAAAUGGUUUGUCCAGUUUUGCAAUGAUGGGAAUGGAAAUGUGUGAGGCAGUGAUUGCUUCGCAUUUGGAAGGCUUAUGUAUGGGUUGCUUAAGUUUGUCUUGUUUUGAAUUGGAUGAUUUUGGACAUGUAAAUCUAAGUUUGAGUGAGGUUUUGGUGACAGGAAGGGCUGUUCAUGAGGUCAUCAUGGAAGCUGGUUCUGAUGGGAGAAGGAUUUGUGAUAAGGAAAUAGGAAAAUUGGUAAGUGAAUCUUAUAAAAGGGGAGCCUUUUUGAGUCCAGAGAUGUUGUUUGAGAUAUUGAAGAAAGAUGCCAUAGAGGUAGAGUGUGUUAACUUUAGAUAUCCAGUUGUGCAUAGCUCGGACGUUUGGUCAUUGACAUGUAUUUUGCUUAGAUUUAUAAUUGGGAAACAAUUCACUGAAGAGCUGGUUGAUUAUGUGGAUCAUUUCAUUUCAAAAUCAAGUGAGGAGAACAGUUUGGAUUGUUCAGUUCUUUAUAUGGGUUUGAUGGAGAAAGUAAGAGCUAUGAUAGGAGGUAAAGUAGGUGAGGAAUGUGAAUCAUUGCAGAAGAUUCUGUGCAGAUGUUUGAAUUUUGACCCAGGGAGUCGCCCACUUGUAAUUGAUCUGUGGAAAUGUGUUCGAGAGUUUGUUAUUAAACUUCAGUUUGAUACUAUGCUCAGAUUGGAUAGGACUGUUCAUGAGAAGAGUAAGGGACAUUGCUUGGCGCUUGGUGAAUUUUCUCUAGUGCCCAAGAAAAUAUUAGAAAUACAUAAUAAAGAUGAGGUGCUGAGAGCAGACAACGGCAGUACAGAAAACCCAGAUCAAGUUGAGGGGGUUAGGGUUGACAAAGAUUUUGUUGAUGGUCUUUUGGAGGGAAAAGUCAAAUUGAAAAAUAUGCAGGGCCAUCUUGAUUGUGUAACAGGAUUAGCCGUUGGAGGUGUGAAGUUCUCAUCUAAUGCUUUUAGAUUGCAAGAUUAUGCUUUUUCAGUUAUUAAUCCAUUCCAUGACACUUCAUUUGUCACUUAAUAUUUUGUUUUGUGUUCAAUUCCUACCAUACUACGUGGGGGUCAUUCUCUUCCUUAUGAUAUAUGAAUAUUUUAAUUUAAAAUGCAAGCUUAGAGGUUGUUUUUUCAGUACAAAGAACACCAAGGUUGCUUUUUUUAGAUGACAUGGGGUGGGAGGUUCUGUUUGAUAUUGGCUUAUGACAUCUAUGCAAGUGCAUUCUUUUUGAUGCUUGAGUGCACAAGUCAUAUUAAUCACAUAGAAACUCCCACCAAAGUUUAUCUUCCUACUUUCCCCAGUUUCUUGGGCUGUAUCAGGUUUCUUAUGCGUGAUAUUUUGAAUCUUUAGAUUGUUGUUUGGUUUGUCCGUCAUCUCAUUUAGACGAGUACCUUUGCUGUUACUUUCAUUUGUUAGUUUCAAUAAUGGGUAAAAAUUCUCUGCCAUCCUCUAAGGGGAAGGAAAAAUAAAUAUAAUAAUGCUUCCAAGGUGAUCAGCUCGUUCCUGAAUGGACGGUGUUACUUUUUCAGGGGGAUUUUUGUUUAGCUCCUCAUUUGAUAAAUCAGUUCAAGUCUGGUCUUUGAAGGUAUGCACUAAAAAAUGCAUUGAUAAGAUUUUUCAUUGUCAUUCCUUCAACUUAUUCUGCAAUUUUUUCAUGCAGGAUUUCUCUCAUUUACAUACAUUUAAAGGUCAUGAACAUAAAGUAAUGGCUGUUAUUUAUGUUGACGAAGAACAACCAUUAUGCAUAAGUGGUGAUAGUGGAGGUGGCAUAUUUCUCUGGAGCCUUACUAUCCCUCUGAGGCAAGAACCAUUGAAGAAAUGGUAUGAGCAAAAAGAUUGGCGAUAUAGUGGAAUUCAUGCCUUGGCUACAGCGGGGAAUGGAUAUCUAUACACUGGAAGUGGAGAUAGGUCAAUUAAAGCAUGGUCAUUGCAAGAUGGCAUUCUAUCAAGCGCUAUGGAUGGUCAUAAAUCAGUAGUUUCCACAUUGGCAGCAUGUGAUGGAAUUCUCUAUAGUGGGAGUUGGGAUGGGACCAUUCGACUGUGGAGUCUAAGUGAUCAUAGUCUUUUGACAGUGUUAGGCGAAGAUGUGCCAGGAACUGUGACCUCUGUCUUGUCUCUUUUUGUUUCCCAGAAUCAGCUUGUUGCUGCACAUGAAAAUGGACAUUUAAAGGUAUGGAGAAAUGAUAUGUUUUUGAAAUCCAUGCAACCCCACAAUGGUGCCAUUUUUGCUAUUGGUAUGGAGGGGAGAUAUCUGUUUUCUGGAGGUUGGGACAAAGCUGUCAAUAUACAGGAAUUAUCAGGAGAUGAAUUUCAAGUAGAUACCAGAUCCAUUGGAUCAGUCCCUGGUGGUUCUGUCAUAACAUCUUUGUUAUACUCGCAAGGAAAGCUUUUUGUCGGUUAUGGUGAUAGAACUAUUAAGGUAUAUUACUAUGGAGAGUGAUCAAAUCUGGCCAGGUAAACGAUUUUUUUUUUUUUUUUUUUUU
This 3244-nucleotide unclassified non-coding RNA is filed under the name Hevea brasiliensis (rubber tree). Lineage: Eukaryota; Viridiplantae; Streptophyta; Magnoliopsida; Malpighiales; Euphorbiaceae. The record is from RNAcentral.